Long non-coding RNA from Protopterus annectens (West African lungfish), 284 nucleotides. RefSeq lists it as uncharacterized. NCBI's taxonomy places the organism in Eukaryota, Metazoa, Chordata, Ceratodontiformes, Protopteridae. The transcript is spliced from 2 exons. The record is from RefSeq and is a predicted model, not a curated record.
UUCUCAGGAAAAUUUAAUGUAGGCUGAACUGAAUAUAAUGGAUAAUAUUUCCUAAUGAUCAUAUUCUUUCUUAUCUACAGGAAGACAAGAAGGCAACUCUGAAUUUGGACGUAAUCACAAACCCAGUAAAAAGGGAGGAAGAAACUAAUGGGAGAAUUCUCCAUGAAAUAUGGACAUUGCACAGGACAAUAUCACAAAGAGAUUCUGUCUUCGCUCUGUGUCCUGGUUUAUAUGUUUUACACUGAAUCAUAUAUAGAAAAAGCAAUAAAAUUAUCUGCAUCCUA